UUGGAGGGCAAGUCUGGUGCCAGCAGCCGCGGUAAUUCCAGCUCCAAUAGCGUAUAUUAAAGUUGUUGCAGUUAAAAAGCUCGUAGUUGAAUUUCGGGAUCAAUCUGUUGGUCGUGCCUUUGGUACGUACUAGCUUAUUGAUUUCUCCCUUCUGACGAACCAUGAUGUCAUUAAUUUGGUGUCAUGGGGAAUCAGGACUGUUACUUUGAAAAAAAUUAGAGUGUUUAAAGCAGGCUCACGCUUGAAUACAUUAGCAUGGAAUAAUGAAAUAGGACGUUUUGAUUCUAUUUUGUUGGUUUCUAGGAUCGACGUAAUGAUUAAUAGGGAUAGUUAGGGGCAUUAGUAUUCAAUUGUCAGAGGUGAAAUUCUUGGAUUUAUUGAAGACUAACUACUGCGAAAGCAUUUGCCAAGGAUGUUUUCAUUAAUCAAGAACGAAAGUUAGGGGAUCGAAGACGAUCAGAUACCGUCGUAGUCUUAACCAUAAACUAUGCCGACUAGGGAUCGGAUGAUGUUAAUUUUUUAAUGACUCAUUCGGCGCCUUACGGGAAACCAAAGUGUUUGGGUUC
Molecule: ribosomal RNA, 566 nt
Filed under: uncultured Glomeromycotina
Lineage: Eukaryota; Fungi; Glomeromycota
Description: SSU rRNA
Rfam family: Eukaryotic small subunit ribosomal RNA
Source: RNAcentral